Long non-coding RNA from Physeter macrocephalus (sperm whale), 626 nucleotides. RefSeq lists it as uncharacterized. The record is from RefSeq and is a predicted model, not a curated record. NCBI's taxonomy places the organism in Eukaryota, Metazoa, Chordata, Mammalia, Artiodactyla, Physeteridae. The transcript is spliced from 3 exons.
CAGUCCUCAGCGCCCUCGGCCACCCCUGAACCCAGCGCUCCGUCCUCGUCGCCGACCAAGUCUGGCUGCGGCAGGGGCCAGAGCGAGGACAACAACUCUGACCUCGCAGGGAUGGUGAAAGGAAAAGAUGAAAUGAGCACUUGACAGCCAUGCCCGGCAGAAGAAGACCCGCAUCUCACUGUGGCCUCACUGCCCUGGCCCGCCCCAUCCUGCCCAUGUGACCUCUCCUCGGGAUUGUCCUGACCUAGCCUGUCAUUUUCCUGAUCCAGUGAUCCUAUCAGAACACUGAGCUGCAGUGUUCUGCUCCUGGCCCUGCUAAGUCACUUCUCUGUUCCUCAGAGCCUCUGUUUUCUGAUCAAACAGGGGACACGGGUUCGAGCCCUGGUCUGGGAAGAUCCCACAUGCCGCGGAGCAACUAAGCCCUUGCGCCACAACUACUGAGCCUGCGCUCUAGAGCCCCCGAGCCACAACUACUGAGACCGCAUGCCAUAAUGACUGAAGCCUGUGUGCCUAGAGCCCACAACAAAGAGAAGCCACCGCAAUGAGACGCCCGUGCACCGCAACGAAGAGUAGCCCCCGCUCGCCGCAACUAGAGAGAAAGCCCGUGUGCAGCAACGAAGACCCAA